Raphanus sativus (radish) is the source of this 1950-nucleotide long non-coding RNA. RefSeq lists it as uncharacterized. The record is from RefSeq and is a predicted model, not a curated record. Lineage: Eukaryota; Viridiplantae; Streptophyta; Magnoliopsida; Brassicales; Brassicaceae. The transcript has 2 exons.
GUAGGUCUGCAGUAAUUUCCAGAGACCGGAAACCAUAUAUCUCUAUCUCCUCUCGCGCCCGUCUAUAUCUCCUCUCUCCCCUCCUCGCGAUCGUCUCUCUCUACCCAGCUGCAUCUCUCUCUCCUCACUGUGAGCUCAAGCCGCUGGCUGAGUUGGUGUGGUGUUGUUGUCGUACUCGAUCGAUUGUUCCCUUGUUCUCCAGAUCUAUCUUUAGAUCUACUCAGGUGAGGUGUUUAACUCAGAUCUCUUCUCAUGUUCUUGUAUCAUGUUGAAUGAAGAUUAGGAUUGGUUAGUCCUGAUUUCUGUUAGGUUUUCAGAUCAUAAAGGAUGCUAAGAUGUUAGAUGCUAAGAUGUUAGAUGCGUAAAUCAUAUUGCAUAAGAACGAUCAUUCUGCUAAAGGACCCUAAUGGUUUAACUUGUGUUGAUGUGGAUGUUUGAAUGAAUAAUUCCUUGAUUCUUUUAUAUGAUUGUUGGAACCUCAUCUGGGAUUUAGAUGUUGAGCAUACCGGGCGGGUGAUCACGUAGGAGCACAUGAUGGGGGCCGGAAAGAGAUUCAUUGAACGUGCAUAGGUCCUAGAGUUCUAGGUUGAUUGGAGUCAUAAUUUUGUGUUUUUAAUGACUUAGUUCAUUGUACUGUUUGAUUGUGUGAAAUGUUGUUUGUUAGUGGCUAGUUGGUUCUCGUUUCGUAUUGAACAUUAUAGAAGUUCAUGUGGGGAGGCUGGACUAGAAAUUUCCUUAUGGGCAAACUGUAAGAAGAAGUGUCGGAAAUGGUCGGAGUGCAAAAUUUGUUAGACAAUAAAAAAUAGAAAAAUUUACUAGAAUAACAUAGAAAAGUUGUGAUAUUACUAGAGUGUCAUAAAAAAAUUUAAAUUACUAAAAUGUCUUUAACCCCUAGUAAAUUAAAUUAAAGAUCCUUGCUUAACUUUUCUAUUGAAAUUAAUUUUAAUUAACAAAUCCACAUCAAUAAAUAUGUAAUCCACGUCAUAGAAAAUGUAAUCAAAAGAGAGGGGAGAGGGAAAGACAAGCAAUCGGUGUUCUCCUUAAUUUAAACAUCCAAUGUUAAAAGAAAAAAGCCCAGAUUUUCCUUUCACCCUAACCGUGCGAUAUUGUUGUUUAUCGUUAUUUGUCCAAAAUUGUCUGCUUGAACAUGUAUUAUCCAAUAUCAUCUUCGUCGAAAUCGUAUUCUCUACAAGCUUCUUCUCCGAUAUCUUCUUCUCCAGUAUGUUUCGACCCUUUACUUUUAAUUUUUCGAGUUUGUGGUUGAGUUUUAUUUAUGUUGUGGCUCAGUUAGUUUUAUGUUGCGGCUUAUUUAUAUAUGAAAUUGUGGCUGGUUUAUUUCCUAUCAAUCUUGAAAACCUAACUAUAAGCAAUUUGCGUUCCGAGGAGAAAAAGGAAAAUACAUUCCAAAAAACACCCAAGUUGGUAAUUGUGAGGUGUAUUCAUUGAAAGAAACAAGAUUUUCGAUUUGAUUAGUGAACAUCUCCAUCUCAAUCUCACCCGUACCGAAGAGGUAUGUGAUUAUAUUGUUAAAAGCUUGAUUUUUUGUUGCUGCAUGUGGUAGAUUUGGUUUCACUGUGUGCAUAUUUAAAAAAAGUGUGACUUUGGAUUUUGUUUUGAUGUUGUUGGUGGUGGUUAUGAUGAGUAUUGGUUAUUUGAUAAGAGCCACAUGAGAGGAAAAAAAGAUGAUUAGAUCUGAGUGAUAAAGAAACUUAAAUGAGAAGAGAAUGGAGGAGACGAAGAGAAUUGACGGAUUCAACAAAGAUGAUGCGGAUGAGUUCAAUGAAGCUUGGAGACAUGGAAGAGUCAUCACCGGAGUGGUGCAUCAAACCUGUAUUUUGUGUUUUCUCUGUGAGAAACAUAACUCAGCCGUGUACUUUGUAUUUAACUUAUACUAUGUUUUACACAACUCAGCCGUAUCGUUUAUAUAUCUCAGCCAUGUUGUUUAUAUAA